This 301-nucleotide ribosomal RNA is filed under the name uncultured bacterium. RNAcentral describes it as "partial 16S ribosomal RNA". It matches the Rfam family "Bacterial small subunit ribosomal RNA", at positions 509 to 807 of the family's 1533-position model. The record is from RNAcentral.
CAGCCGCCGCGGGAAUACAGAGGGUGCAAGCGUUAAUCGGAAUUACUGGGCGUAAAGCGCGCGUAGGUGGUUUGUUAAGUUGAAUGUGAAAUCCCCGGGCUCAACCUGGGAACUGCAUCCAAAACUGGCAAGCUAGAGUAGGGCAGAGGGUGGUGGAAUUUCCUGUGUAGCGGUGAAAUGCGUAGAUAUAGGAAGGAACACCAGUGGCGAAGGCGACCACCUGGGCUCAUACUGACACUGAGGUGCGAAAGCGUGGGGAGCAAACAGGAUUAGAUACCCGCGUAGUCCCUGUCUCUUAUAC